This 375-nucleotide ribosomal RNA is filed under the name uncultured eukaryote. Its description in RNAcentral is "partial 18S ribosomal RNA". It matches the Rfam family "Eukaryotic small subunit ribosomal RNA", at positions 592 to 976 of the family's 1831-position model. The record is from RNAcentral.
CAAUAGCGUAUAUUUAAGUUGUUGCAGUUAAAAAGCUCGUAGUUGGAUUUCGGUUAAGAGCGACCGGUCCGCCGUUUGGUGUGCACUGGUUGGUUUUAACUUCCUGUAGAGGACGUGCUCUGGGUUUAACGACCUGGACUCGGAGUCUACGUGGUUACUUUGAAAAAAUUAGAGUGUUCAAAGCGGGCUUACGCUUGAAUAUUUCAGCAUGGAAUAACACUAUAGGACUCCUGUCCUAUUUCGUUGGUCUCGGGACGGGAGUAAUGAUUAAGAGGAACAGUUGGGGGCAUUCGUAUUUCAUUGUCAGAGGUGAAAUUCUUGGAUUUAUGAAAGACGAACUUCUGCGAAGGCAUUUGCCAAGGAUGUUUUCAUUAA